RNAcentral lists this ribosomal RNA (658 nucleotides) under Agaricus bisporus (cultivated mushroom). Its description in RNAcentral is "eukaryotic LSU rRNA". It matches the Rfam family "Eukaryotic large subunit ribosomal RNA", at positions 1 to 638 of the family's 3401-position model. Lineage: Eukaryota; Fungi; Basidiomycota; Agaricomycetes; Agaricales; Agaricaceae. The record is from RNAcentral.
AUGCUUGACCUCAAAUCAGGUAGGACUACCCGCUGAACUUAAGCAUAUCAAUAAGCGGAGGAAAAGAAACUAACAAGGAUUCCCCUAGUAACUGCGAGUGAAGCGGGAAAAGCUCAAAUUUAAAAUCUGGCGGUCUUUGGCCGUCCGAGUUGUAAUCUAGAGAAGUAAUGCCCGUGCUGGACCGUGUAUAAGUCUCCUGGGAUGGGGCGUCAUAGAGGGUGAGAAUCCCGUCUUUGACACGGACUACCAGUGCAUUGUGGUAUGCUCUCAAAGAGUCGAGUUGUUUGGGAAUGCAGCUCAAAAUGGGUGGUAAAUUCCAUCUAAAGCUAAAUAUUGGCGAGAGACCGAUAGCGAACAAGUACCGUGAGGGAAAGAUGAAAAGAACUUUGGAAAGAGAGUUAAACAGUACGUGAAAUUGCUGAAAGGGAAACGCUUGAAGUCAGUCGCGUUGGCCAGGGAUCAGCCUUGCUUUUGCAUGGUGUACUUUCUGGUUGACGGGUCAGCAUCAAUUUUGACCGCUGGAAAAGGGCCUGGGGAAUGUGGCAGCUUCGGCUGUGUUAUAGCCCCUGGUCGCAUACAGUGGUUGGGAUUGAGGAACUCAGCACGCCGCAAGGCCGGGUUUCGACCACGUUCGUGCUUAGGAUGCUGGCAUAAUGGC